CGGUGAAUACGUUCCCGGGCCUUGUACACACCGCCCGUCACACCAUGGGAGUGGAUUGCACCAGAAGUGGUUAGUCUAACCUUCGGGAGGACGAUCACCACGGUGUGGUUCAUGACUGGGGUGAAGUCGUAACAAGGUAGCCGUAGGGGAACCUGCGGCUGGAUCACCUCCUUAAACGAAG
RNAcentral lists this ribosomal RNA (181 nucleotides) under Gammaproteobacteria bacterium. Its description in RNAcentral is "partial 16S ribosomal RNA". It matches the Rfam family "Bacterial small subunit ribosomal RNA", at positions 1360 to 1533 of the family's 1533-position model. Lineage: Bacteria; Pseudomonadati; Pseudomonadota; Gammaproteobacteria. The record is from RNAcentral.